ACAAUGGGCGAAAGCCUGAUGCAGCGACGCCGCGUGAGGGAUGACGGCCUUCGGGUUGUAAACCUCUUUCAGUAGGGACGAAGCGCAAGUGACGGUACCUACAGAAGAAGCACCGGCCAACUACGUGCCAGCAGCCGCGGUAAUACGUAGGGUGCGAGCGUUGUCCGGAUUUACUGGGCGUAAAGAGCUCGUAGGCGGUUUGUCACGUCGUCUGUGAAAACCCGAGGCUUAACCUCGGGCCUGCAGGCGAUACGGGCAGACUUGAGUACUGUAGGGGAGACUGGAAUUCCUGGUGUAGCGGUGGAAUGCGCAGAUAUCAGGAGGAACACCGGUGGCGAAGGCGGGUCUCUGGGCAGUAACUGACGCUGAGGAGCGAAAGCGUGGGUAGCGAACAGGAUUAGAUACCCUGGUAGUCCACGCCGUAAACG
RNAcentral lists this ribosomal RNA (428 nucleotides) under Tsukamurella pulmonis. RNAcentral's name for it is "bacterial SSU rRNA". It matches the Rfam family "Bacterial small subunit ribosomal RNA", at positions 368 to 808 of the family's 1533-position model. Lineage: Bacteria; Bacillati; Actinomycetota; Actinomycetes; Mycobacteriales; Tsukamurellaceae. The record is from RNAcentral.